UAAGCAGCGUGUGAAAUGAUGAGGCUCAACCUCAUGUCCAUGCGCUGAACUGCUAAGCUAGAGCAUGAUAGAGGUAGCUGGAAUUCCUAGUGUAGGAGUGAAAUCCGUAGAUAUUAGGAGGAACACCGAUGGCGUAGGCAGGCUACUGGAUCAUUGCUGACGCUCAGGCACGAAAGCGUGGGAGCGACCGGGAUUAGAUACCCCGUUAGUCCACGCCGUAAACUAUGGAUGCUA
This 234-nucleotide ribosomal RNA is filed under the name uncultured Candidatus Saccharibacteria bacterium. RNAcentral's name for it is "partial 16S ribosomal RNA". It matches the Rfam family "Bacterial small subunit ribosomal RNA", at positions 584 to 818 of the family's 1533-position model. Lineage: Bacteria; Candidatus Saccharimonadota. The record is from RNAcentral.